This 1885-nucleotide long non-coding RNA is filed under the name Nicotiana tabacum (common tobacco). RNAcentral's name for it is "long non-coding RNA (NTAB_LNC004665)". Lineage: Eukaryota; Viridiplantae; Streptophyta; Magnoliopsida; Solanales; Solanaceae. The record is from RNAcentral.
AUAAGUAAGGACGCAUCAUUAAAUCACAGAAAAAAUGGUAAAAACUUGGAAGGUGGCCCCUGAUAAUCUGUUAGAUGCUGAAAAUUUAUGAAAGAAACUGAGAAGAGAAGGAAAUUACUAUUGGCAAUAGAUUGUGCAAGAAUCUUUAAACACAAUUUACAACCGACAAAUCUGUCCGUAUGGAGUGGACAAAACUCCCGGAUACUAAUAUUUAGACAAACAUUCAAUGCCCUUAAAGCUAAUCCUGACUAGAUAUUUAUAGAAUACAUAUUGUUUAAAAUAACUAGAAAACUGUAAAGCCUAAUCGGAUAGUAAGUUGGAAUAUUUGGUAACUGCUGGAGAGAAUUAAUGAGGCACUUUCCUCCUAAUGCAGUUUCUUCAUGCUGGAGAGAAGUUGGACUUGGCCGAAGCUGCACAAAUCUUAUUUCCUCUUUCAUGUUUUCUUCCAAAAUAAGUCUUCAAAGGUGGGAUUGUAUCAUAAUCCAAUUAGAAAGAAUUACCUCACACGCUCCUUCAUCUCAAAUCACCAAAUAUCAUUCUCCCCUGUUUCAUUUCAUGUAACCAUGACCGAACAGGAAUUUUAAUAAAGAUUAGACGUUUAGAACAUGUUACGACUAAAGAGUUCCAAAUAAAUGUAAGUGUCAAUCUUUUUGAAGGAAUCAUACAAAAUGAAACAAUAUCACCAGAAAUCAUAAUUAAAUCUUUAUAGUUUUUACACUUCAUCUAUCUGAUAUGCGCGGCAUCAUUAAAUCACAGAAAACAUGGUAAAUACUUGGAAGGUUGCCAUUGAUAAUCCAAUGAGAAAGAACCAUCACACUUUAUCUCAAAUCACCAAAUAUUAUUCUCCCUGGUUUCCUUUCAUAUAACUGUGAUCAACCAGGAAUACUAAUAAAGAAAAGACUUUGCAAACAUGUUAUGACUUUUCAAACAUUUUACGACUAAAGUGUUCUCAAAUCUAUUAAAAAUGUCAAUCUUUAUCAGAACCACUCAAAUAAAAUGAAACAGAUUGGAUAAACUAUAUCUUUAAGUGCAUUCCAAAAUCGGAAAUCUGUUGUUCAUCAAUGGCAUCAAAAUUGUCAAAUCUCACUUUCAGCAAUCACUACUCAAGUACCAGUGUACCACUACCUCCUACAUCCUAGAGAACUAUAUAAAAUAUUCAAGUUCUGUAUAGUGACAGAGUAAAACUUAUUUUUACAAUCAGAUCACUUAUUAGGUAAUUACAUGUUAAUCAAUCAAUAAGCAUUAAUAGAUAAUCUAAUAAAAGUAGUAACUAUCUUGUCCUCAGUCUAAAUAAAUUUUUAUACUCGUGUAUAUAACUUAAAUCGAUAAAAUAUACAUAAAAGCAAGAUCUAGCGGUCGAAUUACACAGUCACCAAUCUACAAAGUCAGAUCCAGGCAAAUCAAAUCUGAAGUACUAAGAAGAAGAAAACACACACACACACAACAACAAAAAAAAAAAGUAACAAUUGGAAUCAAACUGAACAGUUUAAUUAAACCUGAGGUGAAACAACUGCCGAAAUAUUAGAUCGAUCCUGAACAAAGCUGACUUAGCUUAAAUCAAUCCAAAAUAUAUGCAAUUCACAGCAGUCUCCAAUUCAGUUGAUGCAAGGCGGGACAAAUUUCGCCGCAAAACAAAAAAUGUUGAUAACUUCGUACAUCUAAUCUCCAUUUAAUAACAAUCACCGCCGUUGUGAUUGCCGCCGCCGCCACCGGCGAAUUAGUCCCGACCUGCACCAAGCGAAUUAGAGACAGCCGCAAUAAAUGGAAAUACGAGACUAGAGAGAACUGUGUAUAUGCAGAGUAGGGAGAAAGAUGAUAUUUAUAGCUGAAACUAACGAAUAGGAUAAUGACACGUGGAGCAGAUAGAUGCUUCUGCAAAAUUUUG